UGCGGUUAUACAAAAAUUAAUUUGAAUUUUUUUAAUAAUUAAUUAAUUAGUUAAUUAAAUAAUUUAAAUAUAAAAUUAUUAAGUAAAAUUUUAAUUAAAUUAAAAAUUUUAUUUGAUGAGUUAAAAAAAUUUAAUAUAAAACUAGGAUUAGAUACCCUAUUAUUGAGGAUUAAAAUUAAUUUAUAUUAAAGUAGUAGGUAUUUUAUAUUGAAAUUUAAAUAAUUUGGCGGUAUUUUAGUUUAUUUAGAGGAAUCUGUUUAAUAAUUGAUAUUCCACGAAUAAAUUUACUUAAUUUUUAAUUUUAUAUAUCGUCGUUAAAAAAAUAUUUUUUAAUAAUUAAAAUAUUUAAAAAUUAAAAUUAAAAAUUAAAUCAGAUCAAGAUGUAGAAAAUAAUUAAGAAUAUAAUGGAUUACAAUAAAUUUAUUUAAAUGAAUUUUAAUUUGAAAUAGAAUAAUGAAGGUGGAUUUAAAUGUAAUUUUAUUUAAUUUAAUAAAAUGAUUAAAAAUUGGAAUAUGUACAUAUUGCCCGUCGCUUUCAUUUUAUAUGAAAAUGUAUAAUUGAAAUAAGUCGUAACAAAGUAGAGGUACUGGAAAGUGUUUCUAGGAAGA
RNAcentral lists this ribosomal RNA (608 nucleotides) under Himantopterus dohertyi. Its description in RNAcentral is "partial 12S ribosomal RNA". The record is from RNAcentral. Lineage: Eukaryota; Metazoa; Arthropoda; Insecta; Lepidoptera; Himantopteridae.